UACGUAGGCAGCGAGCGUUGUUCGGAGUUACUGGGCGUAAAGAGUGCGUAGGCGGUGUUCCAAGUCUGUUGUGAAAUCUCCCGGCUCAACUGGGAGGGUGCGGCGGAAACUGGGACGCUGAAGUACGGGAGAGGUAAGCGGAAUUCCUGGUGUAGCGGUGAAAUGCGUAGAUAUCAGGAGGAACACCUGCGGUGUAGACGGCUUACUGGACCGUAACUGGCGCUGAGGCACGAAAGCGUGGGUAGCAAACAGG
Molecule: ribosomal RNA, 253 nt
Filed under: uncultured bacterium
Lineage: Bacteria
Description: partial 16S ribosomal RNA
Rfam family: Bacterial small subunit ribosomal RNA
Source: RNAcentral